This 1466-nucleotide long non-coding RNA is filed under the name Apteryx rowi (Okarito brown kiwi). RNAcentral describes it as "lncRNA (ENSARWG00000007822.1)". The record is from RNAcentral. Lineage: Eukaryota; Metazoa; Chordata; Aves; Apterygiformes; Apterygidae.
GGCUGCAAAAGGGUGGUGGAGGGAGGGUUCGUUUUGGGGCGAAUCGGGGCGUUUCUGAGCUCCGCCGGUGACCUCGUUUCCUGCCCGCAGGAAGCGCCCGGGAGCCUCCGCCAGCGCCGGCCGUCGGGGGGGCGCCCCCCACCGCGGGCCCAACAUGGAGCCGGGGGGCUCGAACCCGCUGCAGGACCCGGCGGACGCCAUGACGUCGGACGACUUCGACAUCGUCAUCGAGGCCAUGCUGGAGGCGCCCUACAAGAAGGAGGAGGUGAGGGGGGGGCGGGGGGAGGCGCCGCGCCGCCGGGGUUGUUUUGGGGUCGAUCCGGCCGCUUUUGGGGCCAGCUCCCGAGGCUCGCGGGACCCUCGGAGAGGCCCGGGGUCGUCCUUGGGCGUUUCGGGGUCGUUCCUAGGGAUUUGGGGUCCCUUCGAAGCGUUUUGGAGUCCUUUUAGGAGAAUUAAGGUCCCUUAGAAAGCACUUGGGUCAGCUUUAAGCCUACGCAUCAUUCUUAGGAAUUUGGGGCUAUUUUAAGUGUUUUUAGGGUCAUUUCAGGAACAUUGAGAUCUUUUAGACGAGACUUGGAUCAUUUAUAGGUGUUUGGGGUCAUUCCUAGGGAUUUGGGGCCACUUUGAGGUUUUUUGGGGUCAUUUCAGGAGCACUGAGGUCCCUUAAAGGGACUUGGAUCAUUUUUAGGUGUUUCAAUUGUUCUUAUGGAUUUAGGGUCACUUAAAGGAUUUUUGGGGUUAGUUUAGGAGAACCGGGGUCAUUUAGAGGGAGUUUGGGUCAUUUUUAGAUGUUUUGGAGUUAUUCUUAGGAAUUGGGGGCCACUUCAAGGGUUUUGGGGUUAUUUCAGGAGAAUUGAGAUCUUUUAGAAGGGACUUGGAUCAUCUUUAGGUGUUUGGGGUGAUUUAGACGGAUUUGGGGCCACUUCAAGGUUUUUUUGGGUCAUUUUAGGAGCGUUGAGGUUCUUGAGAACAGACUUGGAUCUUGUUCAAGUGUUUGGGUCAUUCCUAGGGAUUUGGGGCCAUUUCAAGGUUUUUUGGGAUCAUUUCAGGAGCACUGAAAUCCUUUAGAAAGGACUUGGAUCAUUUUUAGAUGUUUGGGGUGAUUUAAAGGGAUUUGGGACCAUUUCAUGUUUUUUUGGGGUCGUUUCAGGAAGAUUGAGAUCCAUUAGCAGGGACUUGGAUCAUCUUUAAAUAUUUGGGUCAUUCUUAGGGUUUUGUCGCCACUUUGAGCAUUUUUGGGGUUAUUUUAAGAGCAUUGAGAUCUUUUAGAAGAGUUUUGGAUCAUCUUCAAGUGUUUGGGUCAUUUUUGUGGUUUUGGGGUUAUUUAAAGGAUUUUGGGGGUUAGUUCAGGAGAUCCGGGGCCAUUUAGAGGGAGUUUGGGUCAUUUUUAGGCGCUUGGGGAUUAUUCUUAGGAAUCGGGGGCCACUUCAAGGAUUUUUGGGGUCGUUUUAGGAGAAUUGAUGUCC